GUCAGACAAUUCAGGGUUUGGGCAAUGGCGGGAUGUAGAAGGCAAGAACAUUUUAAGGAUUUAUCUAAUAUGAAACUUCAAUAUGUAAAAUGUAACCCCUAUCUUUCCAUUACGGGGUAUAAUGUGUGUGGCUGUGGGUAAAGGAACAUCCGGGCAAUAGGUUGAGAGAAAUGAAAACUGCAAUGGUGCAUGCAACCGGAAGUUAGAUCAUUUAUCCCACUUGCCUUUUGCGUCACUGGUGAGAAUGUGGCAUGUUCAUCCACUUUGGUCUUUCAGGAAUAAGAAGACAAGCUGAUGUCAUCACCAGAACUUAUCCUUCCACAUGAUCACAGGAAUAAGCUGAUCAAGCAAUGCUUUUUUUUUCCAUAUUUACUGGAGGGGCCUGCUGCCAUGGAGAGUCACAGAUGACAUCAAGACCAAACAGCCAAUAACAAACUGAGGGAGUACACAGGAGGGGUUCCACUGGAGUUACGCAUCUGAGAUACAGCUCUGUAUCUUGUCCACCCACUGCUGAGCCAUUUGAGCGUCUUGUGCACAGAAGUUAUACAUCCGUUUGGUUGUUUUCAG
Long non-coding RNA from Polyodon spathula (Mississippi paddlefish), 567 nucleotides. RefSeq lists it as uncharacterized. NCBI's taxonomy places the organism in Eukaryota, Metazoa, Chordata, Actinopteri, Acipenseriformes, Polyodontidae. The transcript is spliced from 4 exons. The record is from RefSeq and is a predicted model, not a curated record.